RNAcentral lists this ribosomal RNA (1439 nucleotides) under uncultured organism. RNAcentral describes it as "SSU rRNA". It matches the Rfam family "Bacterial small subunit ribosomal RNA". The record is from RNAcentral.
UAGCGACAGGCUUAACACAUGCAAGUCGAGGGGCAGCACAGGUAGCAAUACCGGGUGGCGACCGGCGCACGGGUGAGUAACGCGUAUGCAACUUGCCUAUCAGAGGGGGAUAACCCGGCGAAAGUCGGACUAAUACCGCAUGAAGCAGGGAUCCCGCAUGGGAAUAUUUGCUAAAGAUUCAUCGCUGAUAGAUAGGCAUGCGUUCCAUUAGGCAGUUGGCGGGGUAACGGCCCACCAAACCGACGAUGGAUAGGGGUUCUGAGAGGAAGGUCCCCCACAUUGGUACUGAGACACGGACCAAACUCCUACGGGAGGCAGCAGUGAGGAAUAUUGGUCAAUGGCCGAGAGGCUGAACCAGCCAAGUCGCGUGAGGGAUGAAGGUUCUAUGGAUCGUAAACCUCUUUUAUAAGGGAAUAAAGUGCGGGACGUGUCCCGUUUUGUAUGUACCUUAUGAAUAAGGAUCGGCUAACUCCGUGCCAGCAGCCGCGGUAAUACGGAGGAUCCGAGCGUUAUCCGGAUUUAUUGGGUUUAAAGGGUGCGUAGGCGGCCUUUUAAGUCAGCGGUGAAAGUCUGUGGCUCAACCAUAGAAUUGCCGUUGAAACUGGGGGGCUUGAGUAUGUUUGAGGCAGGCGGAAUGCGUGGUGUAGCGGUGAAAUGCUUAGAUAUCACGCAGAACCCCGAUUGCGAAGGCAGCCUGCCAAGCCAUUACUGACGCUGGUGCACGAAAGCGUGGGGAUCAAACAGGAUUAGAUACCCUGGUAGUCCACGCAGUAAACGAUGAUCACUAGCUGUUUGCGAUACAUUGUAAGCGGCACAGCGAAAGCGUUAAGUGAUCCACCUGGGGAGUACGCCGGCAACGGUGAAACUCAAAGGAAUUGACGGGGGCCCGCACAAGCGGAGGAACAUGUGGUUUAAUUCGAUGAUACGCGAGGAACCUUACCCGGGUUUGAACGCAUUCGGACCGAGGUGGAAACACCUUUUCUAGCAAUAGCCGUUUGCGAGGUGCUGCAUGGUUGUCGUCAGCUCGUGCCGUGAGGUGUCGGCUUAAGUGCCAUAACGAGCGCAACCCUUGCCACUAGUUACUAACAGGUGAUGCUGAGGACUCUGGUGGGACUGCCAGCGUAAGCUGCGAGGAAGGCGGGGAUGACGUCAAAUCAGCACGGCCCUUACAUCCGGGGCGACACACGUGUUACAAUGGCGUGGACAAAGGGAGGCCACCUGGCGACAGGGAGCGAAUCCCCAAACCACGUCUCAGUUCGGAUCGGAGUCUACAACCCGACUCCGUGAAGCUGGAUUCGCUAGUAAUCGCGCAUCAGCCAUGGCGCGGUGAAUACGUUCCCGGGCCUUGUACACACCGCCCGUCAAGCCAUGGGAGCCGGGGGUACCAUGAAGUCCGUAACCGCGAGGAUCGGCCUAGGGUAAAACUGGAAACGGGGGCU